Molecule: ribosomal RNA, 181 nt
Filed under: Klebsiella pneumoniae
Lineage: Bacteria; Pseudomonadati; Pseudomonadota; Gammaproteobacteria; Enterobacterales; Enterobacteriaceae
Description: partial 23S ribosomal RNA
Rfam family: Bacterial large subunit ribosomal RNA
Source: RNAcentral
AGAUAAGUGCUGAAAGCAUCUAAGCACGAAACUUGCCCCGAGAUGAGUUCUCCCUGAGACUAUAAGUCUCCUGAAGGAACGUUAAAGACGAUGACGUUGAUAGGCCGGGUGUGUAAGCGCAGCGAUGCGUUGAGCUAACCGGUACUAAUGAACCGUGAGGCUUAACCUUACAACGCCGAAG